Molecule: ribosomal RNA, 492 nt
Filed under: uncultured bacterium
Lineage: Bacteria
Description: partial 16S ribosomal RNA
Rfam family: Bacterial small subunit ribosomal RNA
Source: RNAcentral
AGUGAACGCUGGCGGUAGGCCUAACACAUGCAAGUCGAACGGCAGCACAGUAAGAGCUUGCUCUUACGGGUGGCGAGUGGCGGACGGGUGAGGAAUACAUCGGAAUCUACUUUUUCGUGGGGGAUAACGUAGGGAAACUUACGCUAAUACCGCAUACGACCUACGGGUGAAAGCAGGGGAUCUUCGGACCUUGCGCGAUUGAAUGAGCCGCUGUCGGAUUAGCUAGUUGGCGGGGUAAAGGCCCACCAAGGCGACGAUCCGUAGCUGGUCUGAGAGGAUGAUCAGCCACACUGGAACUGAGACACGGUCCAGACUCCUACGGGAGGCAGCAGUGGGGAAUAUUGGACAAUGGGCGAGAGCCUGAUCCAGCCAUACCGCGUGGGUGAAGAAGGCCUUCGGGUUGUAAAGCCCUUUUGUUGGGAAAGAAAAGCAGCAGGUUAAUACCCCGCUGUUCUGACGGUACCCAAAGAAUAAGCACCGGCUAACUUCGUG